UUUAAUACCGAUCCUGAAUUACUGCGCUGACCCUUCGUUUUAUACGAUUUCUCGCACGAUUUAUACGCGGACGACGCGCCACGACGUCCCUCUGCUUCGAGCGCGCGUCAUUUAUCUCGGUCAUCGACGACGAACACGAUCGCGAUUUCGCAGUUCGCGAAUCACGCGACGUUUGCCCGGGGAGUAAAAGCCGCCCGACUUGCGGCAGGACCAAAGUAUUCCCAGGCGAUUGCACAGAGAGAUGCAUUCUGUUCUUUUCCUUGCGAUUGGAAGUUACUCUUUUCGAACAUCGGGUCGACCCGAUUGGUCCAAAUUCGAACUGUUUACGCGGGCAAGGUGUAAACUGACGGUAAUCUCCAAAAUGAAGAGCAAAUACGAGUUAUCCGCAAACGAGAGGAAUGUACACUAUGAGGCCUGACGUUGUAUUUAAAAGUUUACGUAAUUUUCGUCAAUUUUCUACAGUAGGAAUUUCGUCUUCAAUUCCAGAUCUCAAGACCAAAUUUGAAUUGUUUACGGAGAGAAGAUGCGAAUCGACGGAAACCUCAAAAGUGAAGCGCAAAUACGAAUUAUCCACAAACGAGAGGAAUGUACACUGUGAGGCCUGACGUUGUAUUUAAAAGUUUACGUAAUUUUCGUCAAUUUUCUACAGUAGGAAUUUCGUCUUCAAUUCCAGAAGGGACGGCCGGUCGAAGGAUUUGCCGCAGACUUCGCAGGGCAAUAAAACCCUCUCUCCUCUCUUAA
Harpegnathos saltator (Jerdon's jumping ant) is the source of this 741-nucleotide long non-coding RNA. RefSeq lists it as uncharacterized. NCBI's taxonomy places the organism in Eukaryota, Metazoa, Arthropoda, Insecta, Hymenoptera, Formicidae. The record is from RefSeq and is a predicted model, not a curated record. The transcript is spliced from 3 exons.